RNAcentral lists this ribosomal RNA (435 nucleotides) under uncultured Glomus. Its description in RNAcentral is "SSU rRNA". It matches the Rfam family "Eukaryotic small subunit ribosomal RNA", at positions 569 to 1009 of the family's 1831-position model. The record is from RNAcentral. Lineage: Eukaryota; Fungi; Glomeromycota; Glomeromycetes; Glomerales; Glomeraceae.
AGCAGCCGCGGUAAUUCCAGCUCCAAUAGCGUAUAUUAAAGUUGUUGCAGUUAAAAAGCUCGUAGUUGAAUUUCGGGAUCAAUUAAUUGGUCGUGCCUCUGGUACGUACUGAUUUUAUUGGUUUCUCCCUUCUGACGAACCAUGAUGUCAUUAAUUUGGUGUCGUGGAGAAUCAGGACUGUUACUUUGAAAAAUUAGAGUGCUUAAAGCAAGCUAACGCUUGAAUACAUUAGCAUGGAAUAAUGAAAUAGGACGUUUGACCCUAUUUUGUUGGUUUCUAGGAUCGACGUAAUGAUUAAUAGGGAUAGUUGGGGGCAUUAGUAUUCAAUUGUCAGAGGUGAAAUUCUUGGAUUUAUUGAAGACUAACUACUGCGAAAGCAUUUGCCAAGGAUGUUUUCAUUAAUCAAGAACGAAAGUUAGGGGAUCGAAGACGAUC